This 833-nucleotide ribosomal RNA is filed under the name uncultured bacterium. Its description in RNAcentral is "bacterial SSU rRNA". It matches the Rfam family "Bacterial small subunit ribosomal RNA", at positions 359 to 1205 of the family's 1533-position model. The record is from RNAcentral.
GCCCCACCAAGUGCCGAAGGCCCUUGCCGGACCAUACCGCGUGAGGGAGGAAGGCUCUUGGGUCGUAAACCUCUUUUCUCACGGUAGAAGAAAGUGACGGUACUUGAGGAAUAAGCAUCGGCUAUCUCCGUGCCAGCAGCCGCGGUAAUACGGAGGAUGCAAGCGUUAUCCGGAAUGAUUGGGCGUAAAGGGUCUGCAGGUGGAACUGAAAGUCUGCUGUUAAAGAGUUUGGCUUAACCAAAUAAAAGCGGUGGAAACUACAGAACUAGAGUGCGGUAGGGGCAAAAGGAAUUCCUGGUGUAGCGGUGAAAUGCGUAGAUAUCAGGAAGAACACCGGUGGCGAAAGCGUUUUGCUAGACCGUAACUGACACUGAGGGACGAAAGCUAGGGGAGCGAAUGGGAUUAGAUACCCCAGUAGUCCUAGCCGUAAACGAUGGAUACUAGGCGUGGCUUGUAUCGACCCGAGCCGUGCCGGAGCUAACGCGUUAAGUAUCCCGCCUGGGGAGUACGCACGCAAGUGUGAAACUCAAAGGAAUUGACGGGGGCCCGCACAAGCGGUGGAGUAUGUGGUUUAAUUCGAUGCAACGCGAAGAACCUUACCAAGGCUUGACAUCCUGCGAAUCCUGGUGAAAGCUGGGAGUGCCUUAGGGAGCGCAGAGACAGGUGGUGCAUGGCUGUCGUCAGCUCGUGUCGUGAGAUGUUGGGUUAAGUCCCCGCAACGAGCGCAACCCUCGUUUUUUAGUUGCCAGCAUUAAGUUUGGGCACUCUAGAGAGACUGCCGGUGACAAACCGGAGGAAGGUGAGGAUGACGUCAAGUCAGCAUGGCCCCUUUA